This 776-nucleotide ribosomal RNA is filed under the name uncultured Neocallimastigales. RNAcentral's name for it is "partial large subunit ribosomal RNA". It matches the Rfam family "Eukaryotic large subunit ribosomal RNA", at positions 24 to 628 of the family's 3401-position model. Lineage: Eukaryota; Fungi; Neocallimastigomycota; Neocallimastigomycetes; Neocallimastigales. The record is from RNAcentral.
GUAGUCUCGCACAGAUGCAUAUCAAUAAGCGGAGGAAAAGAAACUAACAAGGAUUCCCUCAGUAACGGCGAGUGAAGCGGGAAGAGCUCAAAUUUGAAAUCUUAAAGGUUCACCUUGCACGAAUUGUAGUUUAAAGAAGUGUUUUCUGCUGACGAUCUGGUAAUAUAAGUUCUUUGGAAUAGGACAUCACAGAGGGUGAGAAUCCCGUCUAUGAUUGCGAUUUGUAGCUUUGUGAUUACACUUUCAAAGAGUCGGAUUGUUUGGGAAUGCAGUCCAAAACGGGAGGUAAAUUUCAUUCUAAAGCUAAAUAUUGGCGAGAGACCGAUAGCGAACAAGUACCGUGAGGGAAAGAUGAAAAGAACUUUGAAAAGAGAGUUAAAUAGUACGUGAAAUUGUCAAAAGGGAAGCGUUUAACACCAGUGUUGUUUUCUGAAAAUCAACCUCUGUUAGCUUUAUGCAUGUUUGUUUAAACCUAAUCAGCUAUCUUGCAUGUUCUAUUGUUUGCAGUGGUGCACUUUUCAGUUUACAGGUCAACAUCAGUUUUUUUUACCGUAAAAAAGUUAAAGAAAGGUAGCUCAUGGCUCCGGUCGUGAGUGUUAUAGUCUUUUUCCUAUGCGGUAGGAGAGACUGAGGUCUGCAGUGUAGGCUAUUUGGCUAGAUACUCAGGUGCUAUGUGAUACCAUUUCAUAAACAACUUGUUGAUUAUGUUUUGUCUAUUGCAUACUCGCUUGUACUAUCAUACCUACGCUUAGGAUGUUGAGUCGUAGAGCACGCAG